This 207-nucleotide long non-coding RNA is filed under the name Setaria italica (foxtail millet). RNAcentral's name for it is "long non-coding RNA (SITA_LNC002623)". Lineage: Eukaryota; Viridiplantae; Streptophyta; Magnoliopsida; Poales; Poaceae. The record is from RNAcentral.
UGUUCAAAGACCAUAUAAAUUGGUCAUUAUAAAAUUAUCAUAAGAAAAUGAUCGUUGUAAAUAGGAAAUGACUCAGCCUUGAAAAGGCAGAUGGUUUCUGUAUUAUCAAUUCCACUGUACAAUCAUUGACUUUGCCCAUACGCUUGCAUCGUACCUAAAUAUCUACAAAAUUCAGCCACGGAGGUCGAAACGCUACUGGGCAUGGAC